This 199-nucleotide ribosomal RNA is filed under the name Allobrachymonas sp. RNAcentral's name for it is "Brachymonas sp. partial 16S ribosomal RNA". It matches the Rfam family "Bacterial small subunit ribosomal RNA", at positions 334 to 525 of the family's 1533-position model. Lineage: Bacteria; Pseudomonadati; Pseudomonadota; Betaproteobacteria; Burkholderiales; Comamonadaceae. The record is from RNAcentral.
UACUCCUACGGGAGGCAGCAGUGGGGAAUUUUGGACAAUGGACGCAAGUCUGAUCCAGCAAUGCCGCGUGCAGGACGAAGGCCUUCGGGUUGUAAACUGCUUUUGUACAGAACGAAAGGGCUCUGGUUAAUACCUGGGGCAGAUGACGGUACUGUAAGAAUAAGCACCGGCUAACUACGUGCCAGCAGCCGCGGUAAUA